ACUCUCAAACAGAAUUCAAAACUUAAUACUGAGAAAUAUUUACAGAGAUAAUAAGAAAAUAGUUGAAUAAUACAAUAUUAAAAACCCUUUAAUGUUUUAGGGAGGUCUGUUUUGGUGCCUGAUCAUAUUUUCUUCUCAGGGGGUUUAAUCGGCCCAGUCAUGUCUUUAUGAAUGGUGUUUUUUGAAACAUACUUUGUGUUGUUGUGAUGUGUUAAAUGAUACUGUUAGCUGGUCCUGUUUUCUUUUGUCCACCUCAUCUAUUUAAGAACUGCAGGCAACAUAUUUUGUUUACUCAUUGUUUACAGGCUAACUAUUACACAACUACGAUGAUGUGAGAACACUGUUUUUGUUUAAUUCUUCAUAUUCUACAUCUGUGUCAGGGCAGAGUAAGACAGCAGGUCCAGUCCAGGUGAGGCUCCAGCUCUGAAAUCAGACAGAGGUGAGGUCAGACCUCUCUCCUCUCCCUCCUCUCUCCAUGUGGAGGAGGCCUAAUGGCCGCCCCCUUACAACAUGACAGCUUCAACUUAAUCCUCAUUAAGCACUGUAACAAUGCAGGAAGUAGCUGCUGCAGUCACGAUUAGACGGGGCUCACUAUUUGGCAGGAAAUGGCUCCUUUCAGCUGCGUCCAAGACACCUCGAGCGUCCCAAAACUUUUCAGUGCUCAGUAACCCUCCUCCUCCUCCUCCUGGUGAACAAGUCUGUCGACACCAGCCGGUGUUAGAGAAUAAAAGAGCAGCGAAGAAGAUUACAGUCUGACGUAAUCAUGUUCGAUUUUAAAAUGUAUUUAUAUGCGAUGAAAACAUAAAUAGAUGCGCUCUCGGAGGGGGUCUGUGCCGACCGGCUGCAUGAGCUCAUGUUCAUACUUGGAAAAACGCUGACGAGCGAGUGUGACAUUUCAAAAUAAGAUGUUUUAUGAGUGUAAAUCAAGACGACUGACAAUAAAAGUCUCGACUCACUCUGCAGGCUGGCAGCUCACUGAAGAGUGAAACCCAGCAGGACCAUCACGCUCCCUGGUGUACUUCACCUGCCUGACGCGUGUCACCUCACGGAAGAACGACCUGCAACAUCUCAGUUCUCCAUCACAGACACCAAACUUCUUGUCUUUGAUUCAGCAUACUGAGCUGAAAACAACCUCUCAGACAGCCGGAUGUGACUGGGUGUGAUCUCAAACACGAGGAGUUUAACGACCUUUGGUGAUCCUGAUCUCCUUCGAAGUCCCCAUGGCCUCUGAGUUGGACAUAUGUGAUAUUCUUCAGUUCACUCAGUUGUUCCUUGGAUGUCAGCUCAAUUCUUUAAGAGCAAUGACACUUAAUACUGCAUAUGAAAUCAAACAAUGACAAUAUCACGACUCAUCUGUUUUGUUUAUUCCACUGUUUUUCACUUCUGCUGUUCAGUCCUGAGGUGAGCCGUGUUACUGACGUCAAGUCAAACUGCAGCACGCUGAACAUCUGCCCGCCUCUGCACCCAUUGCUCCCACUCUUUCCAUGUUUCAUGUAGCUGCAGUUGACUGAAUAUUAAAGGAUCAGUUCAGCCAAAAAUGAAAACGGUCGUUAGCUGCUCACCCUCGUGCUGAUGGAGAGUCGGGUGAAGUUUCAACACAUUUCUGGAGCUCCAUCAAAUCUUUGUUUCCAGAUUCACAACUGAAGAAGAUUUGGGAGAGACAACCCAGAAUCCCCCAAAACAAAACAAAACUCAGCAAAACAACAACAUGAAAUGGCUCCAUACAGCUUGUCUGGUAUAAUCCAAGUCUCCUCUGACGUGUGAUGGAGCUCAUGUACCCACUUCAGAAUACAAUAGAAUAGAUGUUUAUUGUCACUGUUUCAGAAACAACAAAACACAGAUUAGCAGCUCUUGUUUUGACCAAUAAACCUAAAUACUUAAAUAUAAACAGUAUUGAACAAGAUAGAAGUCCUCACAUAUAUACAACAAUAAUACAGUGGAUGGGGUGAGCGCCAACGCUUUGAGCUCAGAUAAUACAGAGAAGAUUUCUGCUUUAAAAAGGUUGAAAAUAACGUGUUUUCAAAUCAAUUUGGGAUUACGGGUCUUCCAAAGACUUGGAUUACGCCAGCUGUUUAUUUUUUUUGUGGACUACGAAACUUCAUCUGACUUUCCGUCGGCAUGUGGUGGGCAGACAAUGACUGAAUUGUCAUUUUUGGGUGAACUUAACCUUUAAUGUCUUACAAAAUA
This is a long non-coding RNA of Acanthopagrus latus (yellowfin seabream), 2187 nucleotides long. RefSeq lists it as uncharacterized. The transcript has 3 exons. The record is from RefSeq and is a predicted model, not a curated record. Lineage: Eukaryota; Metazoa; Chordata; Actinopteri; Spariformes; Sparidae.